GUGCCAGCAGCCGCGGUAAUACGUAGGGGGCGAACGUUGCUCGGAAUUACUGGGCGUAAAGGGUGUGUAGGCGUCCCGGUAAGUCUCUGGUGAAAGCCUUCCGCUCAACGGAAGAAUUGCCAGAGAUACUGUCGGGAUUGAGUCCGGGAGAGUGGAGCGGAAUUCCUGGUGUAGCGGUGAAAUGCGUAGAUAUCAGGAAGAACGCCAGAGGCGAAGGCGGCUCCCUAGCCCGGUACUGACGCUGAGGCACGAAAGCGGGGGGAGCGAACGGGAUAAGAUACCCCGGUAGUCCACGCCCUAAACGAUGGAUGCUAGGUGUUGGAUCCGAGAGGAUUCAGCGCCGAAGCUAACGCGUUAAGCAUCCCGCCUGGGGACUACGGCCGCAAGGCUGAAACUUAAAUGAAUUGACGGGG
Molecule: ribosomal RNA, 413 nt
Filed under: uncultured prokaryote
Description: bacterial SSU rRNA
Rfam family: Bacterial small subunit ribosomal RNA
Source: RNAcentral